CUUGUGAAGAUUGGAAAGAAUCACUGAAAACAGUUAAUAAAAAACAUCAAUUGUUUAAAUCUGAUGGAGAUACAUUAGAAGCUUUUAAACAAAUGGUACUUAGUCCCAAGUAAGCCGUCUAGAAUGUAUCCCAACGCCUCAGACAGAUGUUUAACAUACAGGGGAGAUUUCCUCCAUAUACAGGGCCGUCUUUAACACGGGGCAAACGGGGCAGCUGCCCCGGGCCCUGUCCGUGCUCGGGGGGCCCAAGACAGCUGCUCCUUUUGCCCUCUGCCUGCAAACUAUGGGAGCCCAUCGGGUGGCCCAUGCUCUUAGGGCCACCCGGUGGGCCUGUGUCAGCAGGGGCCCGGUCGGGC
Non-coding RNA from Pelobates cultripes (western spadefoot toad), 356 nucleotides. Lineage: Eukaryota; Metazoa; Chordata; Amphibia; Anura; Pelobatidae. The record is from the annotation of a GenBank genome assembly.